Molecule: ribosomal RNA, 497 nt
Filed under: uncultured bacterium
Lineage: Bacteria
Description: partial 16S ribosomal RNA
Rfam family: Bacterial small subunit ribosomal RNA
Source: RNAcentral
GACGAACGCUGGCGGCGUGCCUAAUACAUGCAAGUUGAGCGCUGAAGGUUGGUACUUGUACCAACUGGAUGAGCAGCGAACGGGUGAGUAACGCGUGGGGAAUCUGCCUUUGAGCGGGGGACAACAUUUGGAAACGAAUGCUAAUACCGCAUAAAAACUUUAAACACAAGUUUUAAGUUUGAAAGAUGCAAUUGCAUCACUCAAAGAUGAUCCCGCGUUGUAUUAGCUAGUUGGUGAGGUAAAGGCUCACCAAGGCGAUGAUACAUAGCCGACCUGAGAGGGGGGUCGGCCACAUUGGGACGGGGACACGGCCCAAACUCCUACGGGGGGCAGCAGUAGGGAAUCUUCGGCCAUGGGCGGAAGUCUGACCGAGCAACGCCGCGGGAGUGAAGAAGGUUUUCGGAUCGUAAAACUCUGUUGGUAGAGAAGAACGUUGGUGAGAGUGGAAAGCUCAUCAAGUGACGGUAACUACCCAGAAAGGGACGGCUAACUACGUG